Long non-coding RNA from Vespa mandarinia (Asian giant hornet), 3004 nucleotides. The record is from RefSeq and is a predicted model, not a curated record. NCBI's taxonomy places the organism in Eukaryota, Metazoa, Arthropoda, Insecta, Hymenoptera, Vespidae.
AUAAUGUUGUUGAUUUAAGAUCGACUCUGCAUAAACUGUAAAUCUUCUGUUACGGCAACGAUGAUGUAACACAACACAUUCGCUAUGCAUCCGUCGUAUUUUCAAAGAAACGUAAAAUACCGAGUGUGGAGAAUUAGAGUCAGAGUUAGAAAGAGGAGGAAGGCUGAAGUUGAAUCUGAAACGGUGCACAUCAUUUAUCGGUACUCUGUGAAAUCUCGGUCAAAUCGUUUUCCAUUACUAUAGAACUAUAACAGAAUAGCAGCGACAGCAUCUCGGAACUUCGUUAAGAUAGUAUCCUAAUUUUAAAAGUGAAGAUAACGAUCUUAUCGCAAGGUCAGCAUAUUACUCCUUUGGCACGUGCUCGAGUAUAUCCAUCUACUUGGUUUUCAUUAUCACUCCUUUCGCGUUCUUGUAUCACGCAAGAAACGGAUCUCGGAAUUUAAGUGGAUCACGUGAUCUCUGUUGUAAAAACAUCGAUUUUUUCCCCAUUCUAAUCUAUUGUUUUGAUUAUCUAACGUUAUUCACAUAAUAACAAAUCAAUUUUCCUUAUCUUUCUCUUACACAAAAAAAAAACAAACAAACAAACAAAUAAAAAUAUCUUCAUUCUUAAUUAUCAAUAAGUAUUUUUCUCCUCAUCAAAAAAAAACCACGUAACUCGUACAUAUAUACACACACACGGUCGAUAUAUAAGUAUAUAUAUAUAUGUUUAUGACUUUCCAAAUCAGUGGAGCAAAGCAGCCAGUGAAAGAAAGGUGCGAGCAUCUCGGUUUCUUUAUUUUGAAAGCGUUAGAAAGCUUUGAUUCGCUCAGCUGGCUGACUACGUUGUUGAAAGUUGGAACGAUUUGUGAUAACGUCUUGUGUGCAACCUGAAUGAGAACGAAGACGAAAGGAAAAAAAAAUAAAUAAAUAAAUAGAAUUGAAAUAGAUAGGCAAAUAAUAUAAUAAGAAUAUGUGGAUGAAAGAUUAUCGUGAAAAUUCAUUGUCGCUUCUCGAUCAGGAUUAUCGAUUUCAUUUGUAAAGAAUGCUCUCUUAUCUAAAACUCAACAAACAAUUCUAAUAAGCAAGAAAUAUGCGAUAAGAUAUAGAUAUUAAAUACAAAAUAUACUUGUACGUAAUACGGAUAAAUUUUAUGAAAGAGAAAAAGAAAAUAUUAUAGACGAACUUUAAAUGAUUGAUAUCGAAUGUAAAUCAUAAAAACAUAUUGUAAGCCAAGGACGUUUGUGAAAAAUUCAAAUUUUUCCCGCGCGAAAUUGUCGUCUGUUUCCGUAUAUUUUCGUACGUUCUUCCGUAAGACGCGCGAAAAUCUUAAAUUUCGGAGAAGAUACAUGGACAACAGUGGAUUUACUUUACAGUCAAGUCAGAAAAGUAAUUAGCCUCGGCCAUUCAAUAUAUAAUUACAUGGAAAAGCAAUUGUUUUUAUUCGAUAAGGAACGAUGAGUCAUUUCUUAUUUGCAGUCAUUCCUCUCGAGUUCUUACCUCAUCUAUAUUGAUGUAACUACGGCUAUUGUGUUGUAAAAAUAACAGAAAGAAUAUAUAAAAAAGAAUGAUUGGACAUGAGUAUUACAAAAAUAAUGAUUGGACAUUAGUAUUACUCGAACGUGAGAUGUGUAAUAUUUAUCUUUUUUUUCUGUUUUUCUUUUUCUUUUUUUGUUUUUUUUUGUUUUUUGAGAGGAAGAGAGAGAAAAAGACAGAGAGAUAGAUAAAAAGAAAAAAAGAAAUCGAAGAAAGAUAACGUGUUAAUCAAAAGAAAGCGCGAUGGACAUAAUUUACAAAUUUAUCGAGAACGAUUACGAAAAUACAUAUUGAUUCACUUGUGUCAAUGAGUACAAUCGAAAGAAGACACAUCAAGAAUGAUGAUCAGCUGAGGAAAAAGUAAUGUUUUUUCUGAAUUGACGUCAUCAGAGUUUGUCUGAAUGAUAGGUUUUACGAAAAUCGCAUUAAUGACUUCGUAGCAUGAACUUUGAUAUUUAUAAGGACAAAAUGUUUCGAAAAUAAGCGAUUAAUAAUGAUCGAAGUUAGGAGUAAAAAUCUAUAAUUUUUUUUAAGUUUUAUUUAGUUAUAGAUCUAAAGGAUCCCUUAGAAAAAUAUCAUUUAGAUGAGUUUUAUAUCACAAAGUUGAAAUAUAAUUUUUAUAAGUUAUAUACAUACGUACAUGUAUAUUCGAAGUUUCAGGUAAAAGUUCAUAAAAUUGCAUAAAAUUGUAUAACAUUAUCCCCCUUUAUUGAAGUUCGGUUAUAGUUCAAUUGCAAAUGUAGUUUCAGACAGACAGAGGGAGAAAGAGAGAGAGAGAGAGAAAGAGAGAGAUGAAUAAGAAGAGAAACAUUCCACUGACUUUGAAAAGCAUUUAGUAACACAUCGAAAAAAAGAACAGAAUUUUCUAUUUGCGCUCUAAUUGCUUCGUAACGACCGUGAAUUCAGAGUCAUUCGAGAGUUUCUGCUAACGAUAACGAUAACGUUUAAAUGUGAUGCCACUCGAAAAGAGUCUCGAAUCAAAUUUAAAUUUAUAGGUAUUGAUGAAUCUCUGCAUGGAAAUUAUGCUUGAAUAUCAAUGAUAUAAAUGAUAUUGGAAAACUUUUUCUAAGAUUUUUUUUUUUUUUUUUUUUUUUUUUUUUUUUUUUUUUUAAUGACUAUUUUCACAUUGGAUUCUUGUAUUUUCGUUUGAAAGUUUCGAAAAAGUUGAAGCCAAGUGAUAACUCAUAAUAUAAAUAAAGAAGUAAUUUUUUUCGCUCAUGGUGUAAGGAAAAAAAACAGAGAAAUAAAAAGAGAAAGGAAAAAGUAAAGACAAAAAGAAAAGAAAAUAAAAUAAAAAGGAAAUAAAUGUUAAUUUUUUUAUGCAAAAAGUUACUUCACGUUCAAUUCCAUUGUUUAUAGUGAUAAUAUUCCAUUACUAAUCAUGACACCUUUAUCAUCUUAUCUUUCUCUUGAAAUAUUUUUCCUUACUUUGCCAUCAUAUGUACUCACUAAUAAUAUAAUUCUAUAUUAACUGAAUUUUGAUUAUCUAAUG